This 569-nucleotide ribosomal RNA is filed under the name Phaeosphaeriopsis phacidiomorpha. RNAcentral describes it as "LSU rRNA". It matches the Rfam family "Eukaryotic large subunit ribosomal RNA", at positions 44 to 637 of the family's 3401-position model. The record is from RNAcentral. Lineage: Eukaryota; Fungi; Ascomycota; Dothideomycetes; Pleosporales; Phaeosphaeriaceae.
CAAUAAGCGGAGGAAAAGAAACCAACAGGGAUUGCCCCAGUAACGGCGAGUGAAGCGGCAACAGCUCAAAUUUGAAAUCUGGCCCCAGGCCCGAGUUGUAAUUUGCAGAGGAUGCUUUUGGCGCGGUGCCUUCCGAGUUCCCUGGAACGGGACGCCAUAGAGGGUGAGAGCCCCGUACGGUUGGACACCAAGCCUUUGUAAAGCUCCUUCGACGAGUCGAGUAGUUUGGGAAUGCUGCUCUAAAUGGGAGGUACAUUUCUUCUAAAGCUAAAUAUUGGCCAGAGACCGAUAGCGCACAAGUAGAGUGAUCGAAAGAUGAAAAGCACUUUGAAAAGAGGGUUAAACAGCACGUGAAAUUGUUAAAAGGGAAGCGCUUGUGACCAGACUUGCGUCCGGUGAAUCACCCAGCUCUCGCGGCUGGGGCACUUCGCCGGCACAGGCCAGCAUCAGCUUGCCGUCGGGGACAAAAGCUUCAGGAACGUGGCUCCUCUCGGGGAGUGUUAUAGCCUGUUGCACAAUACCCUUCGGCGGGCUGAGGUACGCGCUCCGCAAGGAUGCUGGCGUAAUGG